AUGAACGUUGGCGGCGUGGAUUAGGCAUGCAAGUCGUGCGGAAGUGGCCCGCAAGGGUUACUUUAGCGGCGAAAGGGAGAGUAAUACGUAGGUACCUACCCCUGGAUUCAGGAUAGCUGCGGGAAACUGCAGGUAAUACUGAAUAACGUCUCCGGACCAAAGGUGUGAUUCCGUCCGGGGAGGGGCCUGCGUCCUAUUAGCUAGUUGGUGAGGUGAUGGCUCACCAAGGCUUAGAUGGGUACGGGGUAUGAGAGUAUGCCCCCGCUCACUGGGACUGAGACACUGCCCAGACACCUACGGGUGGCUGCAGUCGAGGAUCUUCGGCAAUGGGGGAAACCCUGACCGAGCGACGCCGCGUGUGGGAUGAAGGCCCUCGGGUUGUAAACCACUGUCAGAGGGGAUGAAGUGCCAUGGGGUUCUCUCCAUGGUUUGACAUAUCCUCAGAGGAAGGACGGGCUAAGUUCGU
Molecule: ribosomal RNA, 466 nt
Filed under: uncultured bacterium
Lineage: Bacteria
Description: bacterial SSU rRNA
Rfam family: Bacterial small subunit ribosomal RNA
Source: RNAcentral